UGGCAGCGGCUGUGUAGUUGGGGGUGGCGACAUGAGCCAUGCGAGCUAGCCUCCCAGCUGGUCCCCGGGAUCUCAGGUUACGUCGCACCCCCCGCAGUGCCGCCGGUCUGUGGGUGUCCAGAUCGACCAGCAGAGACAGAUCCUGGACUUGGACCUGGGCCUGCAGUUCCUACAGCAGCAGUACUUGGAGUUGCUGGCCAAGCUCCACUAGAAGAUCGAGCACCUGAAGUGGGAGAACAAGGCCAACUCUCAAGGAAAGGACAGGCCCCAGCCGGUUCCUUCAAGAAACAAGACUCUAAAGCUGACGUACCCCAGAAGGCAGACCUUGAAGAGGAGCCACUGCUUCACAACAGCAAGCUGGACAAAGUUCCUGGGGUGCAAGGGCAGUCCAACCAGCACAGGGACAGGCAGAUGAUGGCACACUCCCCGAUGAUCCUGUCCCCACACCUGCGAAAGCCCACCACACUUCAGCAGUGUGAGUGGUCAUCCACCAGCUGUGGAAUACCAACCUUCUGCAGGCCCAAGAGCUGCAGCACCUCAAGUCCCUCCUGGAAGGGAGGCAGAGGCCCCAGGCAGCCCCAAGGCCGACAGCAUCCUGACAGGACAGCCAGCCCAGAUUCAUGGAGAAGGGGACACAGUGAUGAACAACUGACAAACACAGGAAUAAUAAAUUUAUUAUAAUCACAGAUGGUGGGGUAGUGCACAUAAAAAGGGGGGACCUCUUCUCACCAGAGGGUGCUGGCCGGUGCCCAGAGUGGCAGGCAACAUAGGGAGGCGCUCCCUGCAUGGCCCGGCCCGCUGCCAGGCCCGCUGUCUCUGGGUGGCUCAGUGUGUGGUGCUCUGAGGACACGGGUCCUGAGGGCCUUGCUCUUCAUCCUUCACAGUGGGGACACGGCCCUCAUGCCAGCGGCACAGGGGUGCCGGCAGCAGGAUCCCCGACGCCCCUGCUCCCUGGGUGCCCCACGGUGCUCAGCAGGAAUGCCGUGAGGGCUGAGGCCCAGCUGGUGGCGGGGAGUCAGCAGCACCUAUGGGCCAGCCCUCCCUCCAAAAGGCAGCCUGUGCCCUGGACUUGCGGGCUUCCUCGGGGGGUGCUCCACCUACCCAAAGCAGCGUAGCCUGAACCCAAAACUGUGACCAGAGAAUCCCAUGUGUGUUUUAAGGGUUUCCUAUGUCCUCUGUGUUCUCCUAUAGGAACGAGUAGGGGUGUGUCUAGCACACACGAGACGCUCUAACAACACCCUGAGUGCACCCUCACGCUGCUGAGAUGGACCUGGACUGUGGACAGGCCACGGUGAGAGCAGCCCGAGGAUGGCAUCUGGCUCCUGGGAGGAAGUCACAUGGAGGGCCUUCUCUAAGAAGUCGGCCAAUGGCCCCCAACAACCCGCUCCACUGCGCCUAUCCCAGUUCUGUACAGCUGUGGGAUUUCGUUUGGCAGGUCCCCAAGGCAGAAGAUAAAAGCAGGAAAGCUAACCUAACCCCAGGCUCUCUAAGGAAGCCAACACCUAGAAGUGUCUGACAGGAGGCGUGUGUCCUUGGCCCCGAUGAGGCUGCGGGCCAUCCCUGCAGUCUUGGCUAGGCGGCUGAGAGGCAGGCCUGGUGGACGCUCUGGGCCCAGGUGUUGAGCAAGGCGGUGACCGAGUGCUUGUCCGGGAGCUGCAGCAGCC
This 1664-nucleotide long non-coding RNA is filed under the name Pan troglodytes (chimpanzee). Its description in RNAcentral is "long non-coding RNA NONPTRT009700". The record is from RNAcentral. Lineage: Eukaryota; Metazoa; Chordata; Mammalia; Primates; Hominidae.